This 165-nucleotide ribosomal RNA is filed under the name uncultured bacterium. RNAcentral describes it as "partial 16S rRNA". It matches the Rfam family "Bacterial small subunit ribosomal RNA", at positions 354 to 511 of the family's 1533-position model. The record is from RNAcentral.
GUAGGGAAUCUUCCACAAUGGACGAAAGUCUGAUGGAGCAACGCCGCGUGAGUGAAGAAGGGUCUCGGCUCGUAAAACUCUGUUGUUAAAGAAGAACAUAUCUGAGAGUAACUGUUCAGGUAUUGACGGUAUUUAACCAGAAAGCCACGGCUAACUACGUGCCAC